AGGAUUUAUUUCUUUGAAUUUAUUGCUGGUUACCUUUUGGGGAGACCACUUCCUAUCACGAUCUUAUUCCUAAAUUCCUAAUUAGGAUUUAUGGACUAACAGAAUAGGGACUAUUUGUGAAAAAGUUAUUUGACUCUUCCAUGAGAAGGAGAGGCUUUUGCCAUUGAUGAGAGUAGCAUUCAAGAGGAAAGAAUUCUUGUAUAUGGUUAAAUACACCCUUUGGUGGGGAUAUGUCUAGAGGAGACUAAG
Molecule: unclassified non-coding RNA, 249 nt
Filed under: Hevea brasiliensis (rubber tree)
Lineage: Eukaryota; Viridiplantae; Streptophyta; Magnoliopsida; Malpighiales; Euphorbiaceae
Source: RNAcentral